This is a long non-coding RNA of Perca flavescens (yellow perch), 317 nucleotides long. RefSeq lists it as uncharacterized. The transcript is spliced from 4 exons. The record is from RefSeq and is a predicted model, not a curated record. Lineage: Eukaryota; Metazoa; Chordata; Actinopteri; Perciformes; Percidae.
CUCAGGUAAUCUUGCUUUUGCUGUUCUAGUUAAAUAAACACUGCUCUAAGACGUGUAUGAGAUUGCCUGUGCAAAGCUGCUAGAGGCUACAAUUACUUCUGAUCUAAACACUGAAGAUGAGGACAACAGGCCAGAGUACAUGAAGAGAAAGAAUAGAGGCUGUAGAAGAAUAGUGAGCAGCAAUGAAGAGGAGGAGGAGGAGGAAGAGAAACAGGGGAGGACUGCUGCACCUCGUGCCCCAACCAAAAAGAAAUCUUACACUAUACUUGCACCAGCCCCCUGCAUCCCAUCUCUUGAUGCUCUAGGUGAAGGGAGUC